This 813-nucleotide ribosomal RNA is filed under the name Nodosilinea nodulosa UTEX B 2910. RNAcentral's name for it is "bacterial LSU rRNA". It matches the Rfam family "Bacterial large subunit ribosomal RNA", at positions 912 to 1737 of the family's 2925-position model. The record is from RNAcentral. Lineage: Bacteria; Bacillati; Cyanobacteriota; Cyanophyceae; Nodosilineales; Nodosilineaceae.
GUUUCGGUGCGGGCUGCGAGAGCGGUACCAAAUCGAGUCAAACUCAGAAUACCCGUAGCACACACUGCCAGUCAGACGGUGGGGGAUAAGCUUCAUCGUCGAAAGGGAAACAGCCCAGACCACCAGCUAAGGUCCCCAAGUUAAUGCUAAGUGGGAAAGGAGGUGGGAUUGCAGAGACAACCAGGAGGUUUGCCUAGAAGCAGCCAUCCUUAAAAGAGUGCGUAAUAGCUCACUGGUCAAGCGAUCCUGCGCCGAAAAUGAACGGGACUAAGCAUUACACCGAAGCUGUGGACUUGUACUUGUACAAGUGGUAGAGGAGCGUUCUGUACGAGUUGAAGCGUUAGCGAGAGCAGGCGUGGAUUGUACAGAAGUGAGAAUGUCGGCUUAAGUAGCGAAAAUGUAGGUGAGAAUCCUACACCCCGAAAUCCCAAGGGUUCCUCCGGAAGGCUCGUCCGCGGAGGGUUAGUCGGGACCUAAGGCGAGGCCGAAAGGCGUAGUCGAUGGACAACGGAUUAAUAUUUCCGUACCUGAUUUGGAUUGUGGCGGGGGACGGAGAAGGCUAAGACAGCCGGAUGAUGGUUACCGGUUUAAGCUAUCGAGGUGAUGAGAGACGGCGAAAACGUCUUGAGCUGAGAAGCGAGUACGACCCGUUACGACGGGGAAGUGUCUGAUGUCAGGCUUCCAAGAAAAGCCCGAACCACGUUAAUUCAAAUUGGCCCGUACCCUAAACCGACACAGGUGGGAAGGUAGAGUAUACCCAGGGGCGCGAGAUAACUCUCUCUAAGGAACUCGGCAAAAUGGCCCCGUAACUUC